CCUUCGGGCGGCAGCAGUGGGGAAUAUUGGGCAAUGGGCGAAAGCCUGACGCAGCGACGCCGCGUGAGGGAUGAAGGUCUUCGGAGCGGAAACCUCUGUUAGCAGGGAAGAACGGUCACUGUGCUAAUCAGCAGUGAAUUGACGGUACCUGCAAAGGAAGCACCGGCUAACUCCGUGCCAGCAGCCGCGGUAAUACGGAGGGUGCGAGCGUUAAUCGGAAUUACUGGGCGUAAAGCGCUCGUAGGCGGUAUGUCAAGUCAAGGGUGAAAUCCCCGCGCUCAACGUGGGAAUUGCCUUUGAUACUGGCAGACUUGAGUGUGUGAGAGGAAAGCGGAAUUCCUGGUGUAGGAGUGAAAUGCGUAGAUAUC
Molecule: ribosomal RNA, 368 nt
Filed under: uncultured bacterium
Lineage: Bacteria
Description: partial 16S ribosomal RNA
Rfam family: Bacterial small subunit ribosomal RNA
Source: RNAcentral